RNAcentral lists this ribosomal RNA (508 nucleotides) under uncultured bacterium. RNAcentral describes it as "partial 16S ribosomal RNA". It matches the Rfam family "Bacterial small subunit ribosomal RNA", at positions 28 to 507 of the family's 1533-position model. The record is from RNAcentral.
GACGAACGCUGGCGGCGUGCUUAACACAUGCAAGUCGAACGGGCCUUGUCCCCUUUUUUUUUGGGGGUGGGGUUAGUGGCGAACGGGUGAGUAACACGUGAGUAACCUGCCCCUCCCUUCUGGAUAACCGCUUGAAAGGGUGGCUAAUACGGGGUGUUCUGGCCUGCUCGCAUGGGUGGGUUUGGAAAGAUUCGACCGGUGUUGGUUGUUUUGGUGGGGGAUGGGCUCGCGGCCUAUCAGCGUGUUGGUGGGGUGAUGGCCUGCCAAGGCUUUGACGGGUAGCCGGCCUGAGAGGGUGGGCGGUCACACUGGGACUGAGACACGGCCCAGACUCCUACGGGAGGCAGCAGUGGGGAAUAUUGCACAAUGGGCGCAAGCCUGAUGCAGCGACGCCGCGUGAGGGAUGGAGGCCUUCGGGUUGUGAACCUCUUUCGCCAGUGAAGAAGGUCCUGCUCUUUGUGGUGGGGUUGACGGUAGCUGGGUUAAUGAAGCGCCGGCUAACUACGUG